UUAAAACGCCAGGGGUGCUAAGAUUUAUUCUUAGCUGAGAGUCACCCUUUAGACCUGAUCUGGAUAAUGCCAGCGUGGGGAGAGUGGAUAUAUUUCUUU
RNAcentral lists this non-coding RNA (99 nucleotides) under Candidatus Rubidus massiliensis. Its description in RNAcentral is "TPP". It matches the Rfam family "TPP riboswitch aptamer (THI element)". From Rfam's summary of the family: Vitamin B(1) in its active form thiamin pyrophosphate (TPP) is an essential coenzyme that is synthesised by coupling of pyrimidine and thiazole moieties in bacteria. The previously detected thiamin-regulatory element, thi box was extended, resulting in a new, highly conserved RNA secondary structure, the THI element, which is widely distributed in eubacteria and also occurs in some archaea. RNAcentral also lists the same sequence under 1 other name. Lineage: Bacteria; Pseudomonadati; Chlamydiota; Chlamydiia; Chlamydiales; Chlamydiaceae. The record is from RNAcentral.